Molecule: small nucleolar RNA, 107 nt
Organism: Magnolia sinica
Lineage: Eukaryota; Viridiplantae; Streptophyta; Magnoliopsida; Magnoliales; Magnoliaceae
Source: RefSeq, a predicted model, not a curated record
UAGCCAUGAUGUGGGUAAGUACUUAGGAGAUCCUCAAAUCUCUCCCAGCAUCGGAAGAAGGUUUCUUCCUCUUUCUGUGAGAAAUUCACAAUGGCCCUUUUAAGGGU